GUGUCAGCAGCCGCGGUAAUACGAAGGGGGCUAGCGUUGCUCGGAAUCACUGGGCGUAAAGGGUGCGUAGGCGGGUUUUUAAGUCAGAGGUGAAAUCCUGGAGCUCAACUCCAGAACUGCCUUUGAUACUGAAAGUCUUGAGUAUGGGAGAGGUGAGUGGAACUGCGAGUGUAGAGGUGAAAUUCGUAGAUAUUCGCAAGAACACCAGUGGCGAAGGCGGCUCACUGGCCCAUAACUGACGCUGAGGCACGAAAGCGUGGGGAGCAAACAGGAUUAGAUACCCCGGUAGUCC
RNAcentral lists this ribosomal RNA (292 nucleotides) under uncultured Bradyrhizobium sp. RNAcentral's name for it is "partial 16S ribosomal RNA". It matches the Rfam family "Bacterial small subunit ribosomal RNA", at positions 505 to 796 of the family's 1533-position model. The record is from RNAcentral. Lineage: Bacteria; Pseudomonadati; Pseudomonadota; Alphaproteobacteria; Hyphomicrobiales; Nitrobacteraceae.